Tupaia belangeri chinensis (Chinese tree shrew) is the source of this 946-nucleotide long non-coding RNA. RefSeq lists it as uncharacterized. The transcript has 4 exons. The record is from RefSeq and is a predicted model, not a curated record. Lineage: Eukaryota; Metazoa; Chordata; Mammalia; Scandentia; Tupaiidae.
UAAACGUGGUCUGCCGUUGAGCAAAAUGUUAUCGUGUAGAACGCAAGUAUACAUCUAAUGGGGGGGGGAGGGUCCAGAAAGAGAAGAGCUAUUGAAAGGAAAUUUUAUUCAAAGAAACAAAGGCUGAGAAUUUUCCAGAAAAAAUGAAAAAUAAGAAUCACAAGCUAUGUAAAUAGAAAGAAAUCCAAACACAGGUAUGUGGUGAAUCUACAGACUCAAUGUUAAAGAGAAGUUCUUACAAGCAACGAAAGCCCCAGCUAUGGUGGCACAGCAGAAGUGCACUGCUCUGUAAUGUUGGAAGUAAUGUGGAAGACCACAGUUCAGUGCCCAGGUUGACCUCUACAGUGCUGGCUGGAUGUUCACGUGCCAAGAUCCUGGCUGCGGGAGAUCAUGCCACAAGACCCUGUUGAAGCAUCAAGGAACGACAUAUGCAAGCAACUGUUGAAAGAGACCAAAAGACAGGCCAAGUACGUUGGACUCCAAGUAUGAGCCAUCAUGCUGCCUUGUUGAGCAGAAAUUACCUCAGAAAUAGAUGAAGGCUCCCUACAACACUGGGAAAUUUGGCAUCAGUCCUUCCCUCAGGAAACCUGUUGGACUGUCCUGCGGGUCAGGACACGUGGCACCUGAACAGGGACCUGAGUAUGAAGGAUCCAGUGAAGAGCUCCCGAGGAAGGCUCCAGUGCAGAGCAACCGAGAAAAGCCAGCGGAAAACAGAAGGGGACAGCAGAGACUUGUCCAGAAGGGGACGGCAGAGAAUCGUCCCGAGAAAGGCUGGCGAAAAACAUAGGAUGAAGAGAAGACAUCCUGGACUAUGAGUUACAUCACCAGCUUCCCUGCCUCGGAGGCCUCCAGACUUGGCCCGAGCCAUGCUACCAGCAACCUGGGUCUCCACGUUGUAGACAUCCUAUUACGGUUCUUCUCAGCUGCCAUUACCACAUGAACCACU